GGAGGAUAUUUUAUCAUUAUGAAAUCGCAUGGCACAUGACGGUGUAACAACUUCAAGAAUUAGAGACACAUUAAAACGUGUUUUAAAUCUGCUUCCAAACACAAUCAUGGAGUACAAAACAAACGUUGACAGGAUAACUCAAGUUUUUGAAACACAGAUGUCUUCAUGAGAUAGCGGAAAUCGGAUGGUUGUCAUGAAGAAUGGCUUUCAUUGACAAAUGGAACUGAACAUGAAGUAUUGUGUGAUGAAAACAAUGUGUAUUUACUACAAUGUAGUAAAUCAAAGGAGGUCCAAAGUGGCUCGAUACUGAAGAACAGUUGUAACAGGAAAGAAUGUGCAUUAUCACCUGCCAAAAAAAGGAAGAAACAGGGGGAUACUGACUGAUGUAUGGACUUUAACACCAGGUUUUUACCCUUCAAGAGUUGGCCAACUAGAGUGGAGCAGGAGAAUGGGCUGUGCUUGACCAAUAAAAGCUGGAUUUGUUGAGAGGUAAAACUAUACAGGUUAUUGCAUUUAAAAGGCAUCACACUUCCAGCCAGUCCAGACAGUCAAAUGAGACCACGCUUCUUGAUCAAUACGCAUUCCAGAUCCUCAAAAAGAGAAGGACACAAGCAACAUCAGUGGUAGAUGUCACUCAAGCCGCUGCUUUCCCAGUCUCUCCUGCUGCUUUCCAGGUCCCUCCACCCGCCAAGAUCAGGUCUAGGCACUGGCUGCCAUCCAGGUCCCCCUAGCGGUUGUGGUUGUGUUCCCUAAUUGCUGUUGUACUGGACUACUGGUCCCACCACCAUAUGCAGUCAAUGUCUCUCCAACUGCUGAAGUCCAGGUUCCUCCGGACACUGCGGUUCAGGUACCUCCAACAGCUGUGAUCGAGUUCUCUGCAGCAGCUGCGAUCUAAAUAUAUUGACCCACUGUGGAACACUGCGGUUUAUCGUUUUUUCCAUGCAAUCUUCCACAUAUGUCUCAUUUUAUAAUGAAGUGUACAAUUCUUAUGUUCAUAUUUUUUUGUGUUGUACUUUUUUGACUUACAAAGAUGAUUUUCCUGCACAUUGUGUUUUUUUUUCCCUUUAAACUGCAUGGGGCUAAUACUUUUUUUACUGAAACAUAUAAGCACAAUAUCGUAUAAGACUUUAACAUACUUUGGUACAAAAAAGCGCUUAAACCCACAAAAAACCACCUUGCCAAAAACCCACAAAAACUAACAGAGCAGGUUAUUGUUUGCGAAAACCUAGCGAGUGUGUGUUUCAUUGUCCAUAGUGCUUAUAAAUUUUAUAAUUAGAAUGAAUUAUCUUAAAUGUAAUUUUGUGUAAAUAUAAACUCGAGAAACUUACAUUAUUUUUGCGACACAUUACAAGUUUAUUUAAAUUUGUGUCACUCCUAAGAUUUUCUACGGCCUCCGAAUGUCUCUCAUACCCUCUGAAAGUGUUUGUUUUAAGAAAUUAUUUAUCACGUUAAUUUUAAUAAAUAUAUUUAUUUCAGAUUAUAAAAUACUGUUCUAGCUGUUGAUAUGUCCCCUUUAUAGUUAAAACUGAGAUAACUU
This is a long non-coding RNA of Dreissena polymorpha, 1537 nucleotides long. RefSeq lists it as uncharacterized. The record is from RefSeq and is a predicted model, not a curated record. NCBI's taxonomy places the organism in Eukaryota, Metazoa, Mollusca, Bivalvia, Myida, Dreissenidae. The transcript is spliced from 5 exons.